RNAcentral lists this small nuclear RNA (254 nucleotides) under Bos indicus x Bos taurus (hybrid cattle). Its description in RNAcentral is "7SK RNA (ENSBIXG00005025222.1)". It matches the Rfam family "7SK RNA", at positions 54 to 331 of the family's 331-position model. From Rfam's summary of the family: 7SK was discovered as an abundant small nuclear RNA in the mid-70s but a possible function has only recently been suggested. Two independent studies have found that 7SK RNA binds the CDK9/cyclin T complex (known as elongation factor P-TEFb). P-TEFb activates transcription by phosphorylating the C-terminal domain of RNA polymerase II. Lineage: Eukaryota; Metazoa; Chordata; Mammalia; Artiodactyla; Bovidae. The record is from RNAcentral.
UGAUUUGGCUCAUCUGGUUGGCUAGGCAGUUGUCCCUUCCCUCCCUCACUGCUCAAUGUGCAUCCCUCCCAAAGCUGUGCACUCAGUCAAAGGACAACCAUCCCCGAUAGAAGAGAAACAGUCUUCAGUCAAGGGUACACAAGUAGCUGCACUCCCCUUCUAGAACCUCCAAACAAGUUCUCAAGGUCCAAUAUGUAUAUGUUUUAAUAUGCUAGAUAUUAUGACUGAAUUGUUACAGUAUCUUUAUCCAUGUC